Long non-coding RNA from Diceros bicornis minor, 1304 nucleotides. RefSeq lists it as uncharacterized. The transcript has 3 exons. NCBI's taxonomy places the organism in Eukaryota, Metazoa, Chordata, Mammalia, Perissodactyla, Rhinocerotidae. The record is from RefSeq and is a predicted model, not a curated record.
GCCGCCGGCCGGGACCGAGACUCCCAGAAAGGGGCGGGGGACCGGGGAGCCAUCGGGACCCGCCACCGCGCUGCUCCCAAAGCCGGGGCGCCUGGAGCCGGCAGACGAGCCGAUAAUACAGAAGACGGCGUCGGCUUUAUUCCCAACAGACCAGGAUUUGCACCCUCAGAUGGGUUCCUUGUCAAGGCAGUCGUCCCGGAAGGCUGGCCACUAUUCCACACGUGCAGGGAUAAUUCCUUUCGGAAUCCUCCCGGGCUGUUUUCAGAAUAGCCUCGGGGUGGCAAUUCUCAGUCCUAACGGACCCAGGUAGGAUCCGGUCUGAUGAAGCCACUCAGCAGUCCCUGCGCCCACGUAGCCCCACAGCGCGGCGGCGCGGCCACGCCAGGGAGAAACAUACGUGACGCCUGCGAAAGAGAAACAGAAAUGAGAACACGUUCCCGGAAAGGAGAAGGACGCUGAUGGGAUCGAGGAAGUGGCACACCUGAAGUGGCUGGUGUGAAGGGGACAACCCUCAUUAAGAUGUCUGAAGAUCAAAUGACCCAGCAGUGGUCCCAGCUCAACGCUGUCCUCUGAGGAAGAUGCAGGCCAGGCUGGAGUUGGAGCUGUGCUGCGCCCAGGACAGAUACUCCCCACUGGGGCAGGAGAGGCCAGCCCACAUAAGCUCCCCAACGGCCUCUCUGCUUUCCCUGGGCCUGGCUUCGUCCUCCUCCACAGCACAUCUCACAGCCUGAAAUACCACGGGAUUGCUUGUUUGUGUUGGACCAUCUCAUCUCACUGGACAGGGACUUGUUUAAUUCAAGCUCUUGCCUUGUUGCCCAAAGCAGUGCCCAGUCCUCCUGGGUGCUCAACAGACAGAAUGAAUGUGUGAACAAGAAAAGCAUCAGGUCGGGGUAGGUGCUGUGCAGAAGACUAAACAGGGUGCUGGGAGGGCAGGCAACCCACUGGGUGGCUAGUGGCUCUAGUCAUCUAAGGAGGCGAUAUCUAAAUUGAUAUCGCCUUUUGGCUGAAAGUCAAAAAGGGACCAGAUGUGAUGAGGCAAAGAGCAUUCUGGACACAGGAAGCAUCUACUGCAAGCGCCCCAAGGCGGGAAGGCACUUGAGGUAGUGGGUGCACAGAAGGUGAGGGGAGGAGGGUGCAGGGUGAUGGCAGGGAGGCUCGGGAGCCUGGGUGAGGAGCUGGGAUUUCAUCCUAAACACGUCCAGUUGGCUCCCAGUCUUUGCAUCUCCUCUUCAGCUUUCUGCAAGCUGCUCCACCCCCCCAUCCCCCCAUCCCCCCCCACCCCCGGUUCUAAUUUGCUGCUUCUG